This 31-nucleotide non-coding RNA is filed under the name Rattus norvegicus (Norway rat). The record is from RNAcentral. Lineage: Eukaryota; Metazoa; Chordata; Mammalia; Rodentia; Muridae.
UCCAUGCUAGCAGAACUACCCAGGUCAGUUU